AGUUUGAUCAUGGCUCAGGAUGAACGCUAGCGGGAGGCCUAACACAUGCAAGCCGAGCGGUAUUGUUUCUUCGGAAAUGAGAGAGCGGCGUACGGGUGCGGAACACGUGUGCAACCUGCCUUUAUCUGGGGGAUAGCCUUUCGAAAGGAAGAUUAAUACUCCAUAAUAUAUUGAACGGCAUCGUUUAAUAUUGAAAGCUCCGGCGGAUAGAGAUGGGCACGCGCAAGAUUAGCUAGUUGGUGAGGUAACGGCUCACCAAGGCGAUGAUCUUUAGGGGGCCUGAGAGGGUGAUCCCCCACACUGGUACUGAGACACGGACCAGACUCCUACGGGAGGCAGCAGUGAGGAAUAUUGGUCAAUGGGUGCAAGCCUGAACCAGCCAUCCCGCGUGAAGGACGACUGCCCUAUGGGUUGUAAACUUCUUUUGUAUAGGGAUAAACCUACCCUCGUGAGGGUAGCUGAAGGUACUAUACGAAUAAGCACCGGCUAACUCCGUGCCAGCAGCCGCGGUAAUACGGAGGGUGCAAGCGUUAUCCGGAUUUAUUGGGUUUAAAGGGUCCGUAGGCGGACUUAUAAGUCAGUGGUGAAAGCCUGUCGCUUAACGAUAGAACUGCCAUUGAUACUGUAAGUCUUGAGUAUAUUUGAGGUAGCUGGAAUAAGUAGUGUAGCGGUGAAAUGCAUAGAUAUUACUUAGAACACCAAUUGCGAAGGCAGGUUACCAAGAUAUAACUGACGCUGAGGGACGAAGGCGUGGGGAGCGAACAGGAUUAGAUACCCCGGUAGU
Molecule: ribosomal RNA, 784 nt
Filed under: uncultured bacterium
Lineage: Bacteria
Description: bacterial SSU rRNA
Rfam family: Bacterial small subunit ribosomal RNA
Source: RNAcentral